This 253-nucleotide ribosomal RNA is filed under the name uncultured bacterium. RNAcentral's name for it is "partial 16S ribosomal RNA". It matches the Rfam family "Bacterial small subunit ribosomal RNA", at positions 524 to 776 of the family's 1533-position model. The record is from RNAcentral.
UACAGAGGUGCCAAGCGUUAGGCGGAAUCACUGGGCUUAAAGCGUGUGUAGGCGGACUUGUAAGUACCUUGUGAAAUCCCACGGCUCACCCGUGGAACUGCUGGGUAUACUGCGAGUCUUGAGCCACUUAGGGGCUGUCGGAACAGGCGGUGGAGCGGUGAAAUGCGUAGAUAUCGCCUGGAACGCCAAAGGUGAAAACAGACAGCUGGGAGUGUGCUGACGCUGAGACACGAAAGCCAGGGGAGCGAACGGG